Molecule: ribosomal RNA, 275 nt
Filed under: Klebsiella pneumoniae
Lineage: Bacteria; Pseudomonadati; Pseudomonadota; Gammaproteobacteria; Enterobacterales; Enterobacteriaceae
Description: partial 23S ribosomal RNA
Rfam family: Bacterial large subunit ribosomal RNA
Source: RNAcentral
AAAUCGUACCCCAAACCGACACAGGUGGUCAGGUAGAGAAUACCAAGGCGCUUGAGAGAACUCGGGUGAAGGAACUAGGCAAAAUGGUGCCGUAACUUCGGGAGAAGGCACGCUGGUGUGUAGGUGAAGUCCCUGCGGAUGGAGCUGAGACCAGUCGAAGAUACCAGCUGGCUGCAACUGUUUAUUAAAAACACAGCACUGUGCAAACACGAAAGUGGACGUAUACGGUGUGACGCCUGCCCGGUGCCGGAAGGUUAAUUGAUGGGGUUAUCCGU